GUUCUUGUAGUUAAAGUAUAACGAUGGUUUUUCAAGCCAUUAAUCUUGGUUAAAGUCCUGGCAGGAACC
RNAcentral lists this transfer RNA (69 nucleotides) under Hemigymnus melapterus. RNAcentral's name for it is "tRNA-Glu". It matches the Rfam family "tRNA". Rfam says of the family: Transfer RNA (tRNA) molecules are approximately 80 nucleotides in length. Their secondary structure includes four short double-helical elements and three loops (D, anti-codon, and T loops). Further hydrogen bonds mediate the characteristic L-shaped molecular structure. tRNAs have two regions of fundamental functional importance: the anti-codon, which is responsible for specific mRNA codon recognition, and the 3' end, to which the tRNAs corresponding amino acid is attached (by aminoacyl-tRNA synthetases). tRNAs cope with the degeneracy of the genetic code in two manners: having more than one tRNA (with a specific anti-codon) for a particular amino acid; and 'wobble' base-pairing, i.e. permitting non-standard base-pairing at the 3rd anti-codon position. RNAcentral also lists the same sequence under 1 other name. The record is from RNAcentral. Lineage: Eukaryota; Metazoa; Chordata; Actinopteri; Labriformes; Labridae.